This is a long non-coding RNA of Triplophysa dalaica, 417 nucleotides long. RefSeq lists it as uncharacterized. The record is from RefSeq and is a predicted model, not a curated record. Lineage: Eukaryota; Metazoa; Chordata; Actinopteri; Cypriniformes; Nemacheilidae. The transcript is spliced from 4 exons.
AACCCGGAGUACAUUUGAAUCUUCAAGUGUAAAACUGCAUCUAAAAAAGGAGUUAUUUUGCAAAGUAAAACUUUUAACUCUGUAAGCAGUGCAUUUCCCACAAUCCUCAACAGCUCUUCAAUUGGAAAACCACAUGGAGAAUAGUCCGCAGUUCAAAGGUUUUUGUAAAGAAGCUGCAUGGAUUCUGAGCACCACGUGCAGAAGUAACAAUGCUGUUCACUGUACUAUACGGAGGAAAGAAGAAACUAAUAAAAGUUGAUGGAGCAGAUUUCACCAGUUUAAUGACUCAAGUUAAGAAGAAAUUUUCAAUCAAUGACAAAGAUCUUAUAUUACAAGACGACGCUGGUGUGGAGGUGGAUGAAGAUGUAUUCACUGACUUGCUGGAGGAGAGAUCACAUGAUAUCCUAUGGAGAGUUG